Molecule: long non-coding RNA, 1990 nt
Organism: Cyprinus carpio carpio
Lineage: Eukaryota; Metazoa; Chordata; Actinopteri; Cypriniformes; Cyprinidae
Source: Ensembl
GAAGACUAGUGUACAAGUCAGAAAAGUUUAAUACCUUCACUUCCAACUAAGUAUUUCGGCUUUUUCAUGCAUUUUUCAGAAAACAAGACUUCAUAUCUUAAGGCACUUUCCAAGUAAAUAUAUCUUGAUUAUAAGAAUGCUUAGAUUAUACUGGGAAACAACACACACACACACACACACACACACACACACACACACAAAAAAAGAAGAAUGUUUUUGCAUUGCUUAAAAGGCCUAUUUCUCUCAAAUAUUGUUCACAAAUCUAUCUAAAACUGUGUUAAAAUGGCCUUUUAUUGUGGCCAGCCUAAGGCACACCUGUGCAAUAAUCAUGCUAUCUAAUCAGCAUCUUGAUAUACCACACCUGUGAGGUGGACGGAUUAUCUCGGCAAAGGAGAAGCCGAGAAACUUUUGCUUACGUAUCGUGCCUCUCAGAGGGAAUGCUGUUACUAGGUGGUACUUGGAUUUUAUUGGUGACUAUAAUUGGUCUAUAUUUGCGUUUUUUUAUCAAUAUUUAAUUGACAGUGUUAUGCAUUAAGAAAUUCCAUUGCUUUGGCAAUGCCUUUGCUGAAGUCAAACUAGUUCUGAAUGCAGACUAUUGAUGUUGUGCUGUCUCUUAAUCAGAUGUAGGAAGAGCAGCUGAAACAGACGGAGCCUUCGAGAGACACGGACCGACUGCUGAGCUACUGCUGUAAUGAAAUAAAGAUGUUCUGGAAUGAUGCCUGGCGCUCUGGCAAACCUCUCACAGGCUGUACUGGGCUGAACCACAGUCUCUCUAAAGCAUGUCGCUCCCUUCAGUGGCCAUCUCAGCUGUGCCGUUGUCAUUGCAGAGUUCUGUGUUUCCUGUGACAACCUAUCAGUGUACUCAAAUCUAUGAGCCUUGGAGAUGCACGGCCGCCUCCAGCCCUGCUCUCAAACAGCAUGACUCAACAAUCCUGAGCAUCUUCCCACCCCAUAAUCCUCUGCCCAAGAGAUGGCCACCACUUGAGACCAAAGCCAUGUUGCCGAAGGAAAAGCCUUGCUUGCGAUAAUGGAUACAUUUCACAGAGCUUUGGUUAAUGUGAUACUUUGCAAAAAAAUUUUAUAUGUGGACGCUAAUUUCAUGGGGCGGUGAAAAAAUUCAAUGAAAGAUUUCCACUGUAAGCAUUAACAUCUGAGACCUUCACCCGAGGCAGGUAAAUGGAUGACUCCUGCACAAGGUUUAUGAGCGUCUACUUGACCUUUUGACCCUCAAGGAUUUUGAUAGACGUGGAACUAAUCAGAGCCAAUUUCUUACAUAAGCCUGCGCCAAUUUGUCAGCAAGUCAUUUCUGUAUCGGCCCCACUGUUCCGGUUUCAGCAUUUUCUAAAAAUAUCCAUGUGUGAAGAGAAUGAACACGACGUCCUCGGGGAACAAAUUGAAUAGAAUCACAUAUGCAUGAAAAAUAAUGAGACAUGGGAUAUUUUUGUGAGUUAUUAAGUGGACUUGAGGGGAAAAUUGACUUUUUUUUUCCAGAGUAACAGAAAAGUUUGUUUUUGACAAGAGCGAGUGUCAAAUCUAAUUGAAAACCUGAUUUAUUAGCAUAAAGUCAAAGAUUUGCUUGGCUAAGGAAUGUUUGCUGUAAUUGGUGAAUAAACUGUGGAUGUGAGCAGUGAUUGGUUGGCUUACUGUGAAUGAAUGUAGCGAGCGGCUACUGUGAACGUGAGGCAGGGUUGUGGAUCAUUCAGAACUGAACUGAGAAUUAUUUUUUAAAUCUUAAAUGAUUUUUUAAAUUAUUUAUUUAUUUAUUUAUUUAUUUUUAAUUUGAAUUAGGGUCCCAAACAAGAUAAAGAACUGUAACGAUGUAGAAUUAAAAUGAAUUGAUAUUCAAAGAUAUACAUAUGACUGUAAUUUCUUACCAGAAAAGCAAACUGGUGAAGACAUACUUCAGAUGUUUGCCAUAGUGUAUAUUUCCUCAUAUUUAAUAAUUUAACUUUUGUGGUCUUGGGUGGAAGAACGCUUCAUUUCCCAAAAU